AACACUGUUAACCUGCGGUACCUGCGGAAGGAUCAUUACCGAGUGUGAACCCCCCCGUAAAAAAGAGGGGUUACCUCCCGUCCUUUGCUGGGAACCCCUUUCCAACUUGGAAGGAGGUUGUUUUCAGACCCUUCUGCUUCGGUGGGGUAACCCACCGGAACAACCUCAAAAAUAUUCUCAAUUCAAAACCGUUCAGUCCGAGAACUUUUUUGAAAAGCGAAAAAACUUUCAGCAAUGGAU
RNAcentral lists this unclassified non-coding RNA (240 nucleotides) under soil metagenome. RNAcentral's name for it is "partial contains 5.8S ribosomal RNA, internal transcribed spacer 2, and large subunit ribosomal RNA". The record is from RNAcentral.